CUUGAAGCAGGAAUCUCCUUCCCUAACCCAGAGGCUCUUUGGAGCCUGACUAUUUACCUCUCCUGCUGUAGGAACCAAGUACCAGGCAAUGCUGAGUGUAGAUGACUGCUUUGGGAUGGGCCGCUCAGCCUAUAAUGAAGGGGACUAUUAUCAUACGGUGAUGUGGAUGGAGCAGGUGCUAAAGCAGCUUGAUGCUGGGGAGGAGGCCACCACAACCAAGUCCCAGGUGCUGGACUACCUCAGCUAUGCUGUCUUCCAGUUGGGUGACCUGCACCGUGCCCUGGAACUCACCCGUCGCCUCGUCUCCCUUGACCCAAGCCAUGAACGAGCUGGAGGGAAUCUGCGGUACUUUGAGCAGUUAUUGGAGGAAGAAAGAGAAAAAAUGUUAUCAAAUCAGACAGAAGCUGAGCUAGCAACCCCAGAAGGCAUCUAUGAGAGGCCUGUGGACUACCUGCCUGAGAGGGAUGUUUACGAGAGCCUCUGUCGUGGGGAGGGUGUCAAACUGGUGAGAUGUGUGUCGGGGGGUUCAGGGUGCCAAAGCUGUGUACCUGGACUCUGGCUCUGGGCACACAGCUUUAGGGAAAGUGUUCUUCAUUUCGUAGGUACUUUUCUUAGUAUCUCCCCCAGUUUUUCACGGCAUAUCCUGAGUCUGACGUGGGUAUUCUCUGAGGUGUAGGAAAGGAGUUUAUCUCCUCUCAGGCCCCAGGUAGAACGUUGCUCCUCCAAGUUACCACUGAGCUUGCCUCCUU
Molecule: long non-coding RNA, 749 nt
Filed under: Aotus nancymaae (Ma's night monkey)
Lineage: Eukaryota; Metazoa; Chordata; Mammalia; Primates; Aotidae
Description: lncRNA (ENSANAG00000039371.1)
Source: RNAcentral